AGAUAGAUAGUCAUAGAAAGUAAACUAUCUAUGUGCUGCCAUCCUGUUAGAAGGUAACAGAUUAUUUUAUUACAAUGGUUAAAUUGGAUUUUCAUUGUGUUCAAUGGUGUUAUUUGCCCCCUAGUGGCGCUUUCUGGUACUUAGAAAGACAACGCAAACGGGAAGUUCAGAAUUUGUUCUGCACGCAUAGAAGCAGCUACAAACAACGCUACGGUGCAGGUCUUUCAAUGUAGUUAUUUCUUGUCACGCUUCAGCCUUGGAAAAAUAUUUGUUUUUUCACAACCUAAACGUUUGCAAUAUAUUCAUUCAAGAAAAGUCACGCCUUGGGAGUUUUAUUGAAGACUUAGUUGUUAGCUAUCUGUCUAGUUUUGCAUGGGAACGCAAUUCAAGGGCAGAAUAAUCUAUCUAUGUAAAAAAAAAAAAGAAGCUGACAGCUGCCUACCGUGAACCUGAAGAGUGACAGCCUUAGUGGGAAUCUGAUUGUCUGUUUCAGCAGUAACAAGAAAUUCCCCUGAGUCUUGCAGAGUCAGUUUCCUAAUUGUUAAACUGAAGUUAAUGACAUUCAUCUCUAGUCUCCCCUCGAACUGGGAUCCUCCUGAAUAUACAACUUCUGAGUUGAAUUCUGCAAUAUCCUUUCCUCUGUACUUCCACUGCAUUAUGGUGACAUUUUGCCCCUCUAAGCCUGCAGGGAUCUCCACGGAGUCCCCUACUGUCUUGUGGAACGACAGGCAACAUCUUGUGGUGAUGUCACUUUCUGUGACUUGUGGUCUCCGUGUCGACCUGUUUCUGUUUCUCAGGAGCAGUGACAAUGACCUGGCUGCCGGCUGUCUGUCUGAUCACAUAAACAUUAACACAUAGACACAGAAACCCUCUAACUGGAACAGUGACCUUCCAGACCAUGCAGGGACACUGGAAAUAGCAUGUUGAAUCUGUACAUCACAUCACUUGGUCCAGCAGUAGCAGCACCAGCAUCUGAAAUAUACAGCAGUACCAGGAGUACGACCAGUAGAACAUCAGAAACAACCAGGACCACAACCACUCCUACUAGGACUGAUGUAGAGGGUCCAGGAGUUAUGCCUGGAGAGAGAACAGCAAAUCACCGUCAGACUCUGAGGACCUGAGCCCUAGGACCAUGCCCCAGGACUACCUGACAUGAUGACUCCUUGCUGUCCCCAGUCCACCUGGCCGUGCUGCUGCUCCAGUUUCAACUGUUCUGCCUUAUUAUUAUUCGACCAUGCUGGUCAUUUAUGAACAUUUGAACAUCUUGGCCAUGUUCUGUUAUAAUCUCCACCUGGCACAGCCAGAAGAGGACUGGCCACCCCACAUAUGCUCUCUCUAAUUCUCUCUUUCUUUCUCUCUCUCGGAGGACCUGAGCCCUAGGACCACGCCCCAGGACUACCUGACAUGAUGACUCAUUGCUGUCCCCAGUCCACCUGACCGUGCUGCUGCUCCAGUUUCAACUGUUCUGCCUUAUUAUUAUUUCGACCAUGCUGGUCAUUUAUGAACAUUUGAACAUCUUGGCCAUGUUCUGUUAUAAUCUCCACCUGGCACAGCCAGAAGAGGACUGGCCACCCCACAUAGCCUGGUUCCUCUCUAGGUUUCUUCCUAGGUUUUGGCCUUUCUAGGGAGUUUUACCUACCUUCUUAGUGUUGCCUUUGUACCAUGUGUAGCUCCAGCCACUGUCAGACCCCACUGAACACGUCAGAGUUACUGUCUCUCCAGUGUAUGCAGGGUUUGGUGUUAUGUUGAGUGUAGCUUUGGGCAGGGCUGUGAGAAAAGAGCAUAAUUUGAAGACCUAGAUACCUGCUUAGCAAUUUCCAGAGUAGAUCGACACUCACUGAAGCCUUCCUUGGGCAGAGCUGUGGAAACACAGUUAUAUCUGUGCAGUCAGAGUGCAAAUCUCUCCAACACAUGAUCUGACUUCUUUAACCAGGUAAGUCAGUUAAGAUAAAAAUUCUUAUUUACAAUGACCACCUGGGAACAGUGGGUUAACUGCCUUGUUCAGGGGCUGAUCCUUACCUUGUCAGCUCAGGGAUUCGAUGCUUUAAGCACUAGGCUACCUUCCACCCCUAACUACCGGACAGUAAUUAUACAUUUUUAUAUUCAUACUGACGCACAGAUCAUGUGUAUAUGAUUGACUCAAUAUAAUGUGUCCAUUUUGUUUGAUAAAAAAAAACAUAAAAGUAACUCACCUUUCACAGUGAUAAUGACAGGAUCACUAAUGAUUGAUGAUAUGGAUCUGAACUGGAUCUCUCCCUGACACCAGUAGAGACCCUGGUCAGACUCAGCAGCUCUACUGGUGGUGAAGGUGGCUCCUGUUGUAGUGUGUCUGCCAAACAAGGUCACUACUUUCUUAGUGUUGUCUUUGUACCAUGUAUAGCUCCAGCCACUGUCAGACCCCACUGAACACGUCAGAGUUACUGUCUCUCCAUUGUAUUCAGGGUUUGGAUUCACGGUCAGUGUAGUUUCAGGAAGAGCUAAGAAAACAGAAAGCAAAAUAUGAAAACAUCUGGAUACAUGCUUGGUAACUUAAUAAAUAUACAUAUAGAUAGAUAGUACCAGUCAACAGUUUGGACACACCUUCUCAUUCAAGGGUUUUUCUACCUUGUCCUAUUUUCUCCAUUGUAGAAUAAUAGUCAAGACAACCAAAGUUUGAAAUAACACACAUGGAAUCAUGUAGUAACCAAAAAAAGUGUUAAACAAAUCUAAAUAUACUUUAUAUUUGAGAUUCUUCAAAGUAGCCACCCUUUGUGUUGAUUCCAGCUUUGCACUAUUUUAAUUUGAUUAAUUAAGUUAAACUUGGACAAAUGAAAUGUGUGUACCAAUAAGUUAAAAGUUUGAUCGUAGUACUAUACAACAUAUUUCUUAAAUUAUUCCACACAAUUUGAAUUUAUUAGUGGAGGAAUCUGAACAGCAAUGGUAGACAAGCAUUUUUAAAACAACUAGAUAGCCUCCUUAAAAUGGGUACCAAUGUCAAGUGGUUGUGGGCAUAGAGGCACUGAUGUGAAUGAGAGAUAAGAUGACUUACCUGUCACUGUCAGUCUGACAGCAUCACUCCACUUAGAAUGCUUCUUCUGAUCAAUAUGUGUACCCAGACACCUGUAGUCACCACUGUCUGAAAUCUUAACCUCACUGAUCUCAAAUUCAUGCUUCCUACUGAGAGAGUCUGCAUCAUCAUUGCUCCAUGUAUAUUCUCAGUCAGUGACUUCUCCCCUCUGUAUGUUACAUCUGAGAGUGACAGACUCUCCACUGAAUAUAUAUGAAGAUUUGGGGUGUAUGGUCAGAAAAGCCUUUGGCACUCCUAAACAAAAUAAAAACAGCAUGACACAA
Molecule: long non-coding RNA, 3330 nt
Organism: Oncorhynchus nerka (sockeye salmon)
Lineage: Eukaryota; Metazoa; Chordata; Actinopteri; Salmoniformes; Salmonidae
Exons: 6
Source: RefSeq, a predicted model, not a curated record